UCGGGAGGACCAACUGUUGGACGAGUUACCCAAUUCAUUCCAGAGAUUGUCCUGUCUGAAGAUGAGUGCAAGGAAGCGAUGUCACUGAUGAAACAUUCGGCUGACGUGGACAUGGUCAUCAAAGAGAUGAAGCUGACAUUUGCUCAUCGGCAUAACAUGGUCCUGGACCCACAGCAGUCAAGCAACAUUCUAUCUUAUUUUCCUCGUUUUAAAGACAUCAAAGGCUUGGUUGAACAGGAUUUUGUUCUAUUGUUUGGAGAGGAUGUAUCGGGCAAGUUUCUGGAGAAGUAGCCAAUCACAUUCAAAAAGAAGAUCAUCCAACAAUGCAGAAAGCUUCCCUCCAUCACUGAGCUUGAGAAACUCCUGAUGGCAGCUGACCCUCCUGAGGAUGGGGCUGAAGUGAACGUUGACUUUGGUUGGGACAAUGACCUCUCAUCGAUUUUGCUGCUCUUACACUUGAUCCCACCGACUGCUCUAGGUCGGAAGAGGCCAGGAAAAGUUUCUGCAUCCCGGGAUGAGAAGCAUCUUGUGGUCUUCAAGAAGACUGGAACAAGCAUCCAAGAACAUCUUGACACCAUUACUACCAGCACUCAACCCUAUCUCCUGGCUGUUGGAGUUCAUAAUUCUCGACAAGAAUGCCAUACCUUGCAGGUCACACUCCUCUCUUGGUGCUUUUGAUGAACUGUUUAAAGCACACUUUGUGUUUGCAACAUCAUACCACACCAUGCUCCACAACAUGUACACGAUCAUCCAGACUACUUUGUACAACAUUGAUGUUGGGAAGGUCAAAGAGAGUCCUUGUGUUGCUGAAAUUAGGACAAGGUUGCUUCUGUAGUGUUUGACUUUUGUCUUCCACCAUUAAGUGUUUUGUUUGUCAGGCUGAGUUCCCGAGUUCAAACAUGCUUGUUCGACAUUUACGUUUAGUUCACGGUUACCUGCCUGGAAAAAAUAUUAACCUUAAAUGCGUUCAAACUGGAUGUGGUGGUGUGUUUGGUACUUUCUCUGGUUUUAGGAAGCAUUUGAAAACAAAACACUCAGUGUACUGAACUACAGAUUGGCACCUAUGUUAAAGUUAAAAAGUUAAAGUACCAAUGAUUGUCACACACACACUCUAGGUGUGGCGAGAUUAUUCUCUGCAUUUGACCCAUCACCCUUGAUCACCCCCUGGGAGGUGAGGGGAGCAGUGGGCAGCAGCGGUUGCCGCGCCCGGGAAUCAUUUUUGGUGAUUUAACCCCCAAUUCCAACCCUUGAUGCUGAGUGCCAAGCAGGGAGGUAAUGGGUCCCAUUUUUAUAGUCUUUGGUUCACUUAAACAGGACAGAAGAGACAGUGUCAGUUAAUGUAGAUGAGUCAGCCACAACAUCUGAACAGUCGAGACAAGCUAAUAGGAGCAGUCUUGAUAUGUGUACCACUGCUGUUGCACAAUUUAAGGUAGCUGGAUUAAGUCAGUCUACUAUGAAUGGUUUUGUCUCAUCCAUGGAGGAAGUGUACAGAGUACCGCUGUGACUUUCAUUGUCUGUUCAGAUGUGGCAUUUGACAUGCCUGUGUUUUGUAAGAUAAAAAAUAUUAUUGUCAAAGCUGAUGAUGUAUUGCUCUGUGGGAAACUGAUGGAAACUGUGUUUUGAGGAGCAUUACCAUGCCUAUAAGGUCAGGUUGCAUCCAGACAAAGUUGUUAAGGUUUUGGACAUAAAGAAACUGCCUUACU
Nerophis lumbriciformis (worm pipefish) is the source of this 1703-nucleotide non-coding RNA. NCBI's taxonomy places the organism in Eukaryota, Metazoa, Chordata, Actinopteri, Syngnathiformes, Syngnathidae. The record is from RefSeq and is a predicted model, not a curated record.